GGGAGAUUAACUACUCCUAAGGUCAACUUAAAAAUCCCAUUAUCUAGGCAAGUGAGAUAAGAGCGAUUUGUGCUGCCCUAGCGUGUUUUUAUGAAUUCUCCUGACUUGAAAUAUUUUUGAAAGGUUUAUUUCGCGAAUAGUUUUUGAGAGUUUUAUCAUUUGGGGAGACUUGAACACUGUGUGCUGUAGCAACAGUAAAACCACGUUUUCCUGGCCUGUACCUGAAAAAAAUUCUAAUUUAUUGUAUUGCUUUUUUUUUUACUAAGUGAGAAUAGUAUAUAAUAAAAUUUUAAGAAGAGUAAACUCUUCUGUGCUAAGUCAAUUCGAUUUGCCAAAAAUUGUCGAAUUCAGUAAAUGUUCUAUUUUGGAUUUAUAAAGAUCGGCAAUUCAUUCCUGAGGACGACAAUGGUAGUGAUAAAAUGACAAAUAAAGCUGUAAAAAGAUGUUCAGACACUGAAUUCCACAUUUUAAUUUACUUUUUAUAAAUUGUUGAGGUCUUUACAAAAUAAUAAUUUGCUAUGAUUCUCAGACUGAAAAGGGCUUGUAAUUCUUAUCCUUAAACCCAUAUGGCAACAGGAUGUGAUGGCAAAAAAGAAAACAUUUUCUAUUUCUAUAUGUUCAUUUAUCUAGAACCAAUUCAUUAGCAACUAUGGCACAGCCCUGCAUAGAAAGUGAUCUUUUGCACGAAAACGGCAAAAAGAGAUCGGAUUCCUACUUCUUUCUCUAUGAAACAUAUUCGUGCGAAGGGUGACAAAAACACAUGGAAAUGCGGAAAAAAUACUAAUUUUUCUCAAUAAUCAUUAUCGGAACUAUGGCCGAAAUUUCGGAAAGAUGAGACUUUAAAAAAUCCACAAUUCUUCAGAUUUUUACUUGCUAUUCGUUUUUUAACAGCACUUGAGAGAUCUUCAUGAAAUUGAGAGUAAAGGGGGAACCUUUUGUAAAUCAACAAUCAUUGAUAGAUUUUAAAUAUAACAGAGAAAACAAAAAUAAGUGUCAAUCUGUUUUCAUAACUGAAUA
Long non-coding RNA from Cimex lectularius (bed bug), 1017 nucleotides. RefSeq lists it as uncharacterized. Lineage: Eukaryota; Metazoa; Arthropoda; Insecta; Hemiptera; Cimicidae. The transcript is spliced from 4 exons. The record is from RefSeq and is a predicted model, not a curated record.